UACGAGGGGGGCAAGCGUUGUUCGGAAUUAUUGGGCGUAAAGGGCGCGUAGGCGGUGCGGUAAGUCUGAUGUGAAAUCUCCGGGCUCAACUCGGAGUCUGCAUCAGAAACUGCCGGGCUUGAGUAUGGGAGAGGUGAGUGGAAUUUCCGGUGUAGCGGUGAAAUGCGUAGAUAUCGGAAGGAACACCUGUGGCGAAAGCGGCUCACUGGACCAUUACUGACGCUGAGGCACGAAAGCUAGGGGAGCAAACAGG
Molecule: ribosomal RNA, 253 nt
Filed under: uncultured bacterium
Lineage: Bacteria
Description: partial 16S ribosomal RNA
Rfam family: Bacterial small subunit ribosomal RNA
Source: RNAcentral